AAAAAAAAAAAAAUAGCUGGGCAGUAGUGGCAUGCUCCUGUAAUCCCAGCUACUUGAGUGGCUGAGGCAGGACAAUCGCUUGAGGCUGGGAGGCAGAGGUUUCAGUGGGUGAGAUCAUGCUACUGCACACCACUGGGGUGAUAGAGUGACUCUGCAACCCUUCUCCACCCUGCUAACAUCACAAUGCUUCUUUCUCUUGCUUCGUUUCUUUGCUUAUGUUGUUCUCACUGCCUGGAAUGAACCCUGCCACUCCAUCAACAAUACCACAAUUCCCUCAUCACCAAUAUCCUUUUCUCUCUGCUAUUACACUUUAGCCCAAGACUCACCAGCUGCACAGUCUUUCCAAGUUUCAUUACUCCCAGCCAAUCAUUAAACUUCAUUCAAUGAGAGCUCACAUGUGUUAAGCCUCCUGAUCCAGCUGCUGCUCCAGUACUUCUACAAGCCCCUCUCAUACCAGUUUAUGCCACAGGGGGUCUCACAACAGACUUCUUUUGCUGAGGUCUCCUCAGUGAGUGGAUGGCCUUCAUGACUGGGACUCCAGUAAGCUGGCUCACAGCUCAUCCACCCUCUCCCCUCUGACUUCAGCAUGGGCUGAACCUCAACCCCAGGAUCUGACACUUGGCAAUGAGGAUGGAAUGAGUGGAUCUUCAGUCUCUGAGGGCUUCCGGGUCAGCCAUGUGUCUGCAGCAUGAGCUGUGGUAACCGGUGGCAGUGGUGCUGCUUGGAUGGGCCCCAAUGGAAAUGUGGGACGCAGUGGACAGGUCUCCCAUGAGUGUGGAGAGGGAGCUGAAGCAUCUGGAAUUGCACAGCACCAAGAGGUAUGCCUUUGAAGGGAGAGUCAGAUGGGCGUUUGUGACUGUGCUGCAGGAAGUGCAUACCCAGUCCCUGUUGGAUGCAGCACAGGGAAGAGGAAGAACCUCCAUUGCAGGCUCAGCCAGUGAUUGCCCAGAAAAUAGAGCAUGAGCAGCUGGUGGGCCCCAAGGGUGGAGCACACUUCCUAUGGUGCCUGUGCCCCCGCUGAGUUGCGGGAGUUAAGUAAGUAAUGUUGGCAGUCAUGUACAAACUUAUUGCAGGUCAUUUGAGAGAAGGACAUUGCUGAGCAACCCAGUCCUGCCCAAGAGUUCCAGUUCAAAAAGUACCUGUUGCAGUUGGUGCAAGUAUAAAGCCUUUCCUGUUUGAGAAGAGAACUGGCCACGAUACCUGGCUUGUGCAAGGCACUGGGCAACCAGAGCCACAUGUGGACUUGGUGAUCUACUGGUUCCUGAACCUGGAUAAGUUUUCAGGCAGAGCUGCAUUUAUUAAUGGCUAUAAAAACUGGUCAGUGAAAGUGAAACCUGUGUCUCUGCAUCCUGACAUCAGCCACUUGGUUCUUUACUUAGGCACUUGAAUAUCUCUCCCAUACCUGAGGACAUUCUGGUGGUGGAUGUUUUGCAUGGCUUGGCAGGUGUUCUGUCUGUCCCAGACUUAAUGGGGCAUUUGACAAUGGAACCGAGACAAUCCACUGAGAGCCUGGAACAGUUUGCCUUCUUGGGAGGGAGAAAAUAGACUUUCAUGGCGUUGCUGCAGGGCUAUAUGCAUAGCCCCAUCAUAUGUCAUAAUCUUGCUAAUGAUAUUAUGUUAACUUCUUUUUUUUUUUUUUUUUUUUUUGAGACUGAGUUUCUCUCUAGUUGGCCAGGCUGGAGUGCAAUGGCAUGAUUUCAGCCCACUGCAACCUCUGCCUUCUGGGUUCAAGGGAUUCUCCUGCCUCGGCCUCUGAGUAGCUGGGAUUACAGGCACACACCACCAUACCUAGCUAAUUUUGUAUUUUUAGUAGAGAUGGGGUUUCUCCAUGUUGGUUAGGCUGGUCUCGAACUCCUGACCUCAGGUGAUCCUCAGUCUUCCAAAGUGCUGGGAUUACAGGCGUGAGCUACCGCACCUGACCUGUUAUAUUAACUUCUAAUUCUCUUGCGGGUUUAGAAGCGGCAACACCCCUCUUGCCUGAGAUUGGGAUGAUAAGGCUGACAUAGCCUUUCUAACCAAGGGUAUCCAUUUACACUAGAUGUACAUGUAACCACAGAUAGUUCUGGCUAUGGCCUAUAGCAGUGCAUGCAGCACUUGGAAGCUCCAGUGGGCUUUUAGUCCCAACUAUGGAAGGCAACUGAGCUCUGGUAUUCCUUAAUAAAGAAGCAGUUAGUAAUAGCUUCUUAUUCAAUGUGUCCAUGAAACUACUCCCUCAGACUGGGAAAGCAGUUAGCAAUUGUAUGCGCUGCCUUUCAGGCUCAUCAGAGUGUGGCAGGAUGGGCUACAGUUGUAGUGUAGAUGACUUACCUGACAGCAGGGUGGGUGUGUUUAUGGGUAAUAACUCCUCAAACUGGGAUGGUACAGACAUGCACUUCAGUGAAGUGGGGCGCCUACUUAGAGCAGUAAAGUACACUGAGCACAAGUCCCUUAGCAGCAGAGUUACAAGAGGCUUUAGGGUCUGUAGUCCUAAUGCAAUAUAAGGCCAUGGGCCUGAGGCACCACCAGACCCUGAGCUUUUACUGUAAGGAAAGGCAUCCCCCUAUUUGUGCUGGAGCAUGGUAUACAGAUCCAGAGUUCUGCUGCUGCCCGGAUUGCUGCUGCAGUAUUGACAACAGCCUAGUACUGACACCAUAUGGUUUAAAACCAGGUGUGGGCAAAGUAGCUAAUAAGCUAAACUCAGAACAGUGUGAAUGGAAAUCACUAAGGAGGUGACACCUAUGGGUAAUCUGCAUCAAUAGCUGGAUAGUUUAUCAAAGCCUAUGUAUAUGUAUUGGGACUGCAUGCCCAAACCUGUGUAUCAGGCUUGCAUGCCCAGAGCUUAUGUGUCAGGCUUAUGUGUUAAGCAUAUGUGUAUGUGUCUGGCCUGUGUACCCAAAGUUUAUGUGUCAGGCCUAUGUGCCAAACCUGUGUAUCAAACCUGUGUGUCCAAGGCCUAUGUCUUUCUUGGCCUAGGGGGUCAGGAAAUAGGUGAAAUAGGCUAUCUCCGUCAGCCUAGGGGGUCAAGGAAUCGGUGGCUGUCCUGAGGUACAUGGAUGUGCUUUGGUAAAGGAAUAGGCCAAGGCAAAUGUCCAGGCUUGCAUGACUCAGUGAGUUUGGUGCUCAGGUGCACACCUCCCCUUGUUAUAUAACCUGUUUGUGUAAGUUCAUACUUUGCUCUGAGCCACUUUUGUCUAUAAAAGGUAUAAAUGCCCUGCUUACAUUGUACAGGGGCCCUUGAGACUUGGCUGGGCUCUUGAGACUUGGCUUAGCUCAACAUGACUUAACGUGGCAGGCACAGUGGCACCCAGAGAAGGAGAGAGAGAGAACCAGAGCUGUCUUUCUUGUAGAUGGAGAGAAGGGAGCCACAGCAUGAGUUGCUCUGGUGCCCAGAGAGAGAAAGAGUGAAGCUGCUGACCCUGAAGGCAAGGGAGAGCCAGCUGUGCAGCUGCAGGUGUGGGGGUGCCAAGAGCCACAGAGCCAGAGCAAACAGCUGAGAUAAAGGUGAACAGUGUAGAGAGCUAGUGUGCGAAAGCUGUUGAUGAGAGCUGCUGCUGCAUACAAUAAUCUUUUCCCUGCUUAUGUCCCCCAAAUGGUCUUCCUGCUCAUCCACCCACUCCACUCAGACUUCAGCAUAGGCUGUACCCGGACCCCAAAAUCUGACACACAGUGUGCUAUGCUUUUUAAUAUUUUGUUUCAGGAAACAUUUUUUCAAUUAUAAUUUUAAAUAUUUAUUCUUUUUUGUUAUUUUUAGUUUCUUCUUUGAAGACGCCAAUUUUAUGUAUGUUGGCCCUUAGGUUUUCUAUAUUGUAUGUUUAUCACAUUGUAUUCAUUUCCUAUGGCUGCUGUUUGUAACAAAUUAUCACAAGUCUAGUGGCUUAAAACAACACAAAUUUAUUUUCUUACAGUUCUGGAAGUCAGAAAUCUAAAAUGGGUUGGCAGAGCUGUGUUCCUUCUGCAAGUUCCAGGGGGAGAAUUAGUUUCAUGCCUUUCCCAGCCUCUAGAAGCUGUCUGUAUUAUCCCUAGAAUCUCUCCUUCUGUUGUCACCUCUCUUCUGACUCUAAAGCUGCUGCCUCUAAGUACCCUGGUAAUGAUAUUGAUCACCUGGGUGAUCAAGAAUAAUCAGUUCAUCCGGACAUCCUUAAAGUCCCUUUGCCACACAAGCAACUCUCAUGGGCUUCAGGGUUUAGGCUGCAGACACUUUUGUGGGGCCAUUAUUCUGCCUAUCAUGCAAAUAUUUCUCAAAUCCUUUCUUUUAAAAUCAUUAAAAAACAUUCCGUGUCAU
Molecule: non-coding RNA, 4261 nt
Organism: Callithrix jacchus (white-tufted-ear marmoset)
Lineage: Eukaryota; Metazoa; Chordata; Mammalia; Primates; Cebidae
Source: RefSeq, a predicted model, not a curated record